RNAcentral lists this ribosomal RNA (216 nucleotides) under uncultured bacterium. Its description in RNAcentral is "partial 16S ribosomal RNA". It matches the Rfam family "Bacterial small subunit ribosomal RNA", at positions 524 to 739 of the family's 1533-position model. The record is from RNAcentral.
UACGGAGGGGGCUAGCGUUGUUCGGAAUUACUGGGUGUAAAGCGCGUGUAGGCGGGAGGCCAAGUCUGUGGUGAAAUCGCUCGGCUUAACUGGGCGGGGUCCAUGGAAACUGGUCACCUGGAGGUCGGUAGAGGCAAGUGGAAUUCCCGGUGUAGUGGUGAAAUGCGUAGAGAUCGGGAGGAACACCAGUGGCGAAGGCGGCUUGCUGGGCCGGAC